RNAcentral lists this long non-coding RNA (453 nucleotides) under Homo sapiens (human). Its description in RNAcentral is "HSALNT0134548". Lineage: Eukaryota; Metazoa; Chordata; Mammalia; Primates; Hominidae. The record is from RNAcentral.
AGGGGGCGGGUGGCGGGGUGCCUUGCCUAAGGCCACACAGCUAAUUCAUGAAAAAGCAAGAGGAAGAACCAAUCUCCCACUCUCCAUCCCCCUCCCAGACUUGGAGUAGAGCUCCCUGGUCCAGCUUCAGGGAAAGUGGUGUGGGCUGCUUCCCUCUUCUGAGCCUCCUCACUUGGUUUCCAGCAUCCAUUGUCCUUACAGCCAUCUGGGGUGGUGCUGGCUUUCUUUCCUCUGGAACAGUGGUUCUCAGCCUUGGCUGUCCAUUAAAAUCACCCAAGGAGCUUUGAAACUCUCUGCAUAGGCCAGGUGCCGUGGCUCACACCUGUAAUCCCAGCACUCUGGGAGGCCACAGCAGGAGGAUCGCUUGAGCCCAGGAAUUCAAGACCAGCCUGGGCAAUAUAGCAAGAACCCAUCUUUACUAAAUUUUUUUAAAAAAGAUUAGCUGGACUUGGU